UACGAAGGUGGCUAGCGUUGUUCGGAAUUACUGGGCGUAAAGCGCGUGUAGGCGGGCCGUUAAGUCGGGGGUGAAAGCCCAGAGCUCAACUCUGGAAUUGCCUUCGAUACUGGCGGCCUGGAGCAUGAUAGAGGCGAGUGGAAUUGCGAGUGUAGAAGUGAAAUUCGUAGAUAUUCGCAGGAACACAAGUGGCGAAGGCGACUCGCUGGAUCAUUGCUGACGCUGAGACGCGAAAGCGUGGGGAGCAAACAGG
Molecule: ribosomal RNA, 253 nt
Filed under: uncultured bacterium
Lineage: Bacteria
Description: partial 16S ribosomal RNA
Rfam family: Bacterial small subunit ribosomal RNA
Source: RNAcentral